Biomphalaria pfeifferi is the source of this 235-nucleotide non-coding RNA. Lineage: Eukaryota; Metazoa; Mollusca; Gastropoda; Planorbidae. The record is from the annotation of a GenBank genome assembly.
AAUCAAUAAAGUUUUUUUUUUUUUGGUAUGAUGUAUCUUUAGAGUCAUUAAAUUCAAAAGUUUCUCAAUUUUCUUUUGGAACAUGUACAAUGCAUCUUUUAUUUACAGGUUGGCCUCCUCAUUCAGUUUCUAUUUUUGUGGACAAGAAUUGUAUAGUUAUGUCUUGUUCAUGUGAAUGUCUUUUGCUCUUGUUUGAAAUAUGAAACAUUGUAUUAAAUGUUAUUUGAGAAUUAAU